Molecule: long non-coding RNA, 1100 nt
Organism: Oryza sativa Japonica Group (Japanese rice)
Lineage: Eukaryota; Viridiplantae; Streptophyta; Magnoliopsida; Poales; Poaceae
Source: RefSeq, a predicted model, not a curated record
CGACGCUGCACCCUCACGCCGCCGCCAUCGCUCUAUCCAGCGCCAUCAGCCAUCGCGACGUCGCCUCCUCUCUCUCGCAUCGCUCCAUCGCCCUAUCCAGCGCCAUCCGCCAUCGAGACGCCGCCACGCCAACAACGCCCAUCCCUCUCCCGUCGGCCAGCGUCACCAACGUCGUCGAUCUCCUCCGCGCCUCCGCCCGAGCCGAUCUCUCCCGUCCGCAUCGCCACCGACGGUCGCUCACCGAUCUGCUCCGCUAGCGUUGAUCUCUCCCGUCCGCAUCGUCACCGGUGGCCACCUUUGCCGAUCUCCUCUGUGCCCAAGGACAGAGUGAAAUUGCUAACCAGCUUGUGGGGUAACUACUCCAUUCCAAAAGACAACCCAUACACUGAUGACAGUGACUUAGAACUAGAAGUUUGGGCAUUGGGUCUUAGAAACCCGUGGAGAUGCAGCUUUGAUUCCGCGAGGCCUUCCUACUUCUACCGUGCCGAUGUUGGUCAGCGGCUAAUAUCGAUUGAUCAAUUGAGGCGCGGCCCGUGCUGCCAAAGUGAAUCGUUCCAGAUCAUCUGGUACUAUAUGUGAACUGGAAAUUUAUUUUGUAAACUUUCACCGCCAUUAGCUUGAGGUAGAUGACACCAAGCUGAAGCAUGUUGGACAUUUUUGGUCAGCUUAAGUACUUGGAUCAUUUAAUUGGCUGAAAUGCACAUGUAAAUUUGUUUCCCAGAUCCAGAUCCAUUAAGUUUAUAGUACUUUCUGAUCGGCGAGAAGACCUUGGUGACUGGGUGAGCGACAAAGCCACCUGCAGACUCAACUUAUGUCUUUGCUUUGUAUGUUCUACUGAGGGAAAGAAGAUGCAAGGUCUCUUAGGGUUUAGGGUUAGGUGAUCAAAUUCUCUUGGGCCAGGUGAUCAAAUGAAAAAGGGAAAUGCUUUAAGACUGAAGUUCUAUCGUAAACCAGAUAUAGAUCAAAUAUUAGAUGCUAUGGACUUCUAUGUCUAUGCCUGAUUGUGAAGUUGUACAAUAGGCUUGCAUUGUUUAAAAUCAAAAGAUAGAAAAGUCACGAUGUUAUUUUACUCACAUCGCUAUGUAAUUAACAAUAUAAUA